GUGUAACCUUGUAGCAGUGCUUCAUCUGCAAGGGCGCCGAGCCUGGCAGGACAUGCUCAGUGUUCUCACUUCAUCUAUACUGGAUAGGGCAUAGGAGGAGGCACAUGACACGUGAGCUGAUGCUGCUUUCGUUCAUCCAAUUCUUGAAAUGGUCAGCCCCAGGAAACAGCAGCUUAAAAUGAGCAGCUACCACUUCUUCCACUAAAUAUGUAUUGUAACUCUAAAAUGUAAGACAGAAGAAUCAGGUGCUAACUUCUUGACUGUCAUUUCUGACUGUCACUGAGCAUUUAACGAUUUCAGCCUGUACUGCCACAGGUCAUGAAGUUGCCUCUGAAUAUGGUUUAGGUUUUAGAGCAGGCACCUGUGGCCUCUGGGUCUGGUGCUCAGGGCAGGGUGGGCCAAAGUGAUUUGAAUCCUCAUUCUGUCUGUAGCUGUUCUGUGCAAGGCCUUAGCUCAGGGGCAUAAUUUCUAGCACAGACUUUUCAUUUGUUCCCAGGCUCUUCUGUUCCUAAUAGCUUUUGAGGCUGCUUAAAAUGAAUGGAGUUCGUUUGUACAAGGUACAGCUGCACUCAGCAAUUUAUUUUCAUAGCAGCAGUCAUUGGGCUUCCUUUUGUGUUCAGUCUGCAAACUCCAAUUUCUGUUCUUCUCCAGACUAUUAGUCACUGUCCUUUGAGCCUGACUUUAAGAACAAGUGGAAAAGUAUAUCAUCUAAAAUACCUAAAACAGAUGGAUUUUACUAAGGAAAUGGUUCAGCUGCAAACUGUCAUUUCUGUACAUCUCCAGGUGCAUCAUACUGAAAGAACUCAAAACUUGGACAAGAGUUAAUGCUACUAUGAAUGUAACUUGAAAAGUAGAGAGAUUUAGUGUUUUAANNNNNNNNNNNNNNNNNNNNNNNNNNNCCCAUUCCUGACUCUUUUUGAUGACAAAAGUCAGACAUGUUCUUGACACUGACAGUAAAUUUGUAGUACUGCAAGGCUUAUUUCCCAUUUUUAAUUAAUGAAGUCAGAGCAUACUGUGAUGCAUGUGACACAACUGGAAAUGACUGCUGUGAAUUGCCAGCUAGCAUCUUUUUGACCUAGCGGUCAGCUUGAAUCCUUAACUAUUGUGGCAUAAUAAAGUAAGAGACAGGACAGAGCUGGGAAGAACA
This 1147-nucleotide long non-coding RNA is filed under the name Struthio camelus australis. RNAcentral's name for it is "lncRNA (ENSSCUG00000003079.1)". Lineage: Eukaryota; Metazoa; Chordata; Aves; Struthioniformes; Struthionidae. The record is from RNAcentral.